AAAAAAAAAGAAAAAGAAAAGAAAGUGACCUUAUUGAAAUAAAUAAAUUUAGUUCAGUGAUUUUGUUGAAAAUAAUUAAAAUUCAGUGCCAAUAUCGGAAUUCAGUGAUUAAGUUCAGCGACCAUGAGUAAAAUUACCUCUAGAGGCUUUGAAUCUCAAACCCAGCAUUUGGCAUGUUUUCCUCCUUUUUGUGGUAAAUAGAUGACUUCAUAUAUUAAGGUUUUCAUCAAUUCUUCUAGUGGUGAGAAAUUCCUUGAAAUAUUGUCUGAAAUUUGUUUUUCCCUUAUUUAAAAAUGUUUCCUUUCCAACCAAUGAGCUUUAGCGAAAGCUAGGUGAUACUGGAGUCUUCUCCAGGUUAAUUGUAUAUAUAAAAAAAAUUCCUUUGCAUUUUUGCAUUGGUGAUUAAUCGGUUGAUAUAUUUUAAUUGCACUGGAUUGAAAUGUAAACGGAACAUGUUUUUAAGACAAGAAGAUGAAAAUUAUUCAUUUGCUUAAUGAGAAUGAAUAGGGUUUGGUACUGGGGUUGCGGAAA
This 531-nucleotide unclassified non-coding RNA is filed under the name Hevea brasiliensis (rubber tree). Lineage: Eukaryota; Viridiplantae; Streptophyta; Magnoliopsida; Malpighiales; Euphorbiaceae. The record is from RNAcentral.